This 252-nucleotide ribosomal RNA is filed under the name uncultured bacterium. RNAcentral's name for it is "partial 16S ribosomal RNA". It matches the Rfam family "Bacterial small subunit ribosomal RNA", at positions 524 to 776 of the family's 1533-position model. The record is from RNAcentral.
UACGUAGGUCCCGAGCGUUGUCCGGAUUUAUUGGACGUAAAGCGAGCGCAGGUGGUUUAUUAAGUCUGGUGUAAAAAGCAGUGGCUCAACCAUUGUAUGCAUUGGAAACUGGUAGACUUGAGUGCAGGAGAGGAGAGUGGAAUUCCAUGUGUAGCGGUGAAAUGCGUAGAUAUAUGGAGGAACACCGGUGGCGAAAGCGGCUCUCUGGCCUGUAACUGACACUGAGGCUCGAAAGCGUGGGGAGCAAACAGG